UACGUAGGGUGCAAGCGUUAAUCGGAAUUACUGGGCGUAAAGCGUGCGCAGGCGGCUUUGCAAGACAGAUGUGAAAUCCCCGGGCUUAACCUGGGAACUGCAUUUGUGGCUGCAUGGCUGGAGUGCGGCAGAGGGGGAUGGAAUUCCGCGUGUAGCAGUGAAAUGCGUAGAUAUGCGGAGGAACACCGAUGGCGAAGGCAGCCCCCUGGGCUAACACUGACGCUCAUGCACGAAAGCGUGGGGAGCAAACAGG
Molecule: ribosomal RNA, 253 nt
Filed under: uncultured bacterium
Lineage: Bacteria
Description: partial 16S ribosomal RNA
Rfam family: Bacterial small subunit ribosomal RNA
Source: RNAcentral